UGGGGAAUCUUCCGCAAUGGACGAAAGUCUGACGGAGCAACGCCGCGUGUAUGAUGAAGGUCUUCGGAUUGUAAAGUACUGUCAUUGGGGAAGAACGGUUUUCUUGAAAAGAUUGAGAAGACAUGACGGUACCCAAGGAGGAAGCCCCGGCUAACUACGUGCCAGCAGCCGCGGUAAUACGUAGGGGGCAAGCGUUGUCCGGAAAUUAUUGGGCGUAAAGGGCGCGUAGGCGGGCCUUUAAGUCCGGUGUGAAAGAUCAGGGCUCAACCCUGAGAGUGCAUCGGAAACUGGAGGCCUUGAGGACAGGAGAGGAAAGUGGAAUUCCACGUGUAGCGGUGAAAUGCGUAGAUAUGUGGAGGAACACCAGUGGCGAAGGCGACUUUCUGGACUGUAACUGACGCUGAGGCGCGAAAGCGUGGGGAGCAAAACAGGAUUAGAUACCCUGGUAGUCCACGCCGUAAACGAUGAGUGCUAGGUGUAGAGGGUAUCGACCCCCUUCUGUGCCGCAGUU
This 511-nucleotide ribosomal RNA is filed under the name uncultured bacterium. Its description in RNAcentral is "partial 16S ribosomal RNA". It matches the Rfam family "Bacterial small subunit ribosomal RNA", at positions 355 to 853 of the family's 1533-position model. The record is from RNAcentral.